AGUGAACGCUGGCGGUAGGCCUAACACAUGCAAGUCGAACGGCAGCACAGUAAGAGCUUGCCCUUACGGGUGGCGAGUGGCGGACGGGUGAGGAAUACAUCGGAAUCUACUUUUUCUGGGGGGAUAACGUAGGGAAACUUACGCUAAUACCGCAUACGACCUACGGGUGAAAGCAGUGGAGCUUCGGACCUUGCGCGAUUGAAUGAGCCGAUGUCGGAUUAGCUAGUUGGCGGGGUAAAGGCCCACCAAGGCGACGAUCCGUAGCUGGUCUGAGAGGAUGAUCAGCCACACUGGAACUGAGACACGGUCCAGACUCCUACGGGAGGCAGCAGUGGGGAAUAUUGGACAAUGGGCGCAAGCCUGAUCCAGCCAUACCGCGUGGGUGAAGAAGGCCUUCGGGUUGUAAAGCCCUUUUGUUGGGAAAGAAAAGCAGCAGGUUAAUACCCCGCUGUUCUGACGGUACCCAAAGAAUAAGCACCGGCUAACUUCGUG
RNAcentral lists this ribosomal RNA (492 nucleotides) under uncultured bacterium. Its description in RNAcentral is "partial 16S ribosomal RNA". It matches the Rfam family "Bacterial small subunit ribosomal RNA", at positions 29 to 507 of the family's 1533-position model. The record is from RNAcentral.